This 468-nucleotide ribosomal RNA is filed under the name uncultured bacterium. RNAcentral describes it as "partial 16S ribosomal RNA". It matches the Rfam family "Bacterial small subunit ribosomal RNA", at positions 28 to 507 of the family's 1533-position model. The record is from RNAcentral.
GACGAACGCUGGCGGCGUGCUUAACACAUGCAAGUCGAACGGAAAGGCCCUGCUUUUGUGGGGUGCUCGAGUGGCGAACGGGUGAGUAACACGUGAGUAACCUGCCCUUGACUUUGGGAUAACUUCAGGAAACUGGGGCUAAUACCGGUUAGGAGCUCCUGCUGCAUGGUGGGGGUUGGAAAGUUUCGGCGGUUGGGGAUGGACUCGCGGCUUAUCAGCUUGUUGGUGGGGUAGUGGCUUACCAAGGCUUUGACGGGUAGCCGGCCGGAGAGGGUGACCGGCCACAUUGGGACUGAGAUACGGCCCAGACUCCUACGGGAGGCAGCAGUGGGGAAUAUUGCACAAUGGGCGGAAGCCUGAUGCAGCAACGCCGCGUGCGGGAUGACGGCCUUCGGGUUGUAAACCGCUUUCGCCUGGGACGAAGCGUGAGUGACGGUAAUGGGUAAAGAAGCACCGGCUAACUACGUG